This is a non-coding RNA of Triticum urartu, 115 nucleotides long. The record is from Rfam. NCBI's taxonomy places the organism in Eukaryota, Viridiplantae, Streptophyta, Magnoliopsida, Poales, Poaceae.
GAAGUACUCCCUCCGUUCGAAAUUAAUCGUCGCAGAAAUAGAUGUAUCUAGAACUAAAAUACAUCUAGAUACAUCCAUACUUGCGACAACUAAUUCGUAACGGAGGGAGUACAUG